UUCGGGACGCCGGCGAGUGGCGAACGGGUGAGUAACACGUGGAGACCUGCCCUGAGGUGGGGGAUAACAGCUAGAAAUGGCUGCUAAUACCGCAUACGCCUUACGAGGGAAAGAUUUAUUGCCUCAGGAGGGUUCCGCGUCGGAUUAGCUUGUUGGUGGGGUAACGGCCUGCCAAGGCGAUGAUCCGUAGCUGGUCUUAGAGGAUGAUCAGCCACACUGGGACUGAGACACGGCCCAGACUCCUACGGGAGGCAGCAGUGGGGAAUAUUGCGCAAUGGAGGCAACUCUGACGCAGCGAUGCCGCGUGGGUGAAUAAGGCCUUAGGGUUGUAAAGCCCUUUCAGUGGGAAAGAUGAUGACGGUACCCACAGAAGAAGCCCCGGCUAACUCCGUGCCAGCAGCCGCGGUAAUACGGAGGGGGCGAGCGUUGUUCGGAAUUAUUGGGCGUAAAGAGCGCGUAGGCGGUUUAUUAAG
This 473-nucleotide ribosomal RNA is filed under the name uncultured Magnetococcus sp. Its description in RNAcentral is "bacterial SSU rRNA". It matches the Rfam family "Bacterial small subunit ribosomal RNA", at positions 79 to 587 of the family's 1533-position model. Lineage: Bacteria; Pseudomonadati; Pseudomonadota; Magnetococcia; Magnetococcales; Magnetococcaceae. The record is from RNAcentral.